CCUACGGGAGGCAGCAGUGGGGGAUAUUAGACAAUGAGGGAAACCCUGAUCCAGCGAUGCCGCGUGAGGGAGGAAGGUUUUCGGAUUGUAAACCUCUGUAGAGGGGGACGAUAAUGACGGUACCCCUUUAAGAAGCCACGGCUAACUACGUGCCAGCAGCCGCGGUAAU
This 169-nucleotide ribosomal RNA is filed under the name uncultured bacterium. Its description in RNAcentral is "partial 16S ribosomal RNA". It matches the Rfam family "Bacterial small subunit ribosomal RNA", at positions 338 to 524 of the family's 1533-position model. The record is from RNAcentral.